CGGGGUGUAGCGCAGUCCGGUAGCGCUCCUGGUUUGGGACCAGGCGGUCGCAGGUUCGAAUCCUGUCGCCCCGACAA
This 77-nucleotide transfer RNA is filed under the name Prevotella amnii. RNAcentral's name for it is "tRNA-Pro". It matches the Rfam family "tRNA". From Rfam's summary of the family: Transfer RNA (tRNA) molecules are approximately 80 nucleotides in length. Their secondary structure includes four short double-helical elements and three loops (D, anti-codon, and T loops). RNAcentral also lists the same sequence under 3 other names. The record is from RNAcentral. Lineage: Bacteria; Pseudomonadati; Bacteroidota; Bacteroidia; Bacteroidales; Prevotellaceae.